CCCUUAGAUGUUCUGGGCCGCACGCGUGCUACACUGAGUGGAUCAGCGGGUCAGGUUGCGCGAAAGCGUUUCCUAAUCUUUAAAUCCGCUCGUGAUGGGGAUUGACGGUUGCAAUUUUCUGUCAUGAACGAGGAAUACCUUGUAAGCGCGGGUCAUCAUCCCGCGCUGAAUACGUCCCUGCCCUUUGUACACACCGCCCGUCGCUCCUACCGAUUGAGUGGUCCGGUGAGGCUUUGGGAUCUGAGCGGAAAGAGCGUUUCGCUGUUUCUGCUCGGAAAACUCAGUCGAACCUUAUCAUUUAGAGGAAGUAGAAGUCGUAACA
Molecule: ribosomal RNA, 322 nt
Filed under: uncultured eukaryote
Lineage: Eukaryota
Description: partial 18S ribosomal RNA
Rfam family: Eukaryotic small subunit ribosomal RNA
Source: RNAcentral